Molecule: non-coding RNA, 282 nt
Organism: Pelobates cultripes (western spadefoot toad)
Lineage: Eukaryota; Metazoa; Chordata; Amphibia; Anura; Pelobatidae
Source: the annotation of a GenBank genome assembly
GCGCCCUGUUUUUUCUAGUGUUUUGUUUUUGGCAAUUGGAGUUGGAGAGUCCUUUAUACAGAGGCUUGCCUGCACUUGGUUUUUAUUACUGUCCACCCACCUUUCCAUUUCUUUUCUUUAUGGCCUUUCUACCAACCUGGGGCAGGAGGUAUAGUCCCCUUCAUCCUCCUUCCAACAUACCCUUGCAUCAUCUUAGCACAACUCUUCUGAGUCCAUCAAACGAGGGCACUGGCUGAAUAUGAACACCCACGUAAAGCAACAGUCCUGUUCCUGAUCUGAGAC